GAUGAAGAACGCAGCGAAACGCGAUAUGUAAUGUGAAUUGCAGAAUUCAGUGAAUCAUCGAAUCUUUGAACGCACAUGGCGCCUUCCAGUAUCCUGGGAGGCAUGCCUGUCCGAGCGUCGUUUCAACCCUCGAGCCCCCGUGGCCCGGCGUUGGGGAUCUGCCACGGCAGGCCCCUAAAACCAGUGGCGGACCCGAAGGCCCUCUCCUUUGCGAAGUAGCAUCAGCCUCGCAUUGGGAUCCCUCGGCGUCCUGCCUCUAAACCCCCCACAAGUCCGCUCCGGCGGCACCAAGGUUGACCUCGGAUCAGGUAGGAAUACCCGCUGAACUUAAGCAUAUCAAUAAGCGGAGGA
This 351-nucleotide unclassified non-coding RNA is filed under the name soil metagenome. Its description in RNAcentral is "partial contains 5.8S ribosomal RNA, internal transcribed spacer 2, and large subunit ribosomal RNA". The stretch from base 1 to 120 matches the Rfam family "5.8S ribosomal RNA", at positions 35 to 154 of the family's 154-position model. The record is from RNAcentral.